CCUACGGGAGGCAACAGUGGGGAAUAUUGGGCAAUGGAGGCAACUCUGACCCAGCAACGCCGCGUGAAUGAUGAAGGUCUUCGGAUUGUAAAGUUCUGUGAUGGGGGAUGAACACAAUGACGGUACCCCAAUAGCAAGCCACGGCCAACUACGUGCCAGCAGCCGCGGUAAUACGUAGGUGGCAAGCGUUAUCCGGAAUGACUGGGCGUAAAGGGUGCGUAGGUGGUUUAGUAAGUUGGCGGUGUAAUUCCGGGGCUCAACCUCGGCGCUACCGCCAAAACUAUUAGACUAGAGUGCAGGAGAGGUGAGUGGAAUUCCUAGUGUAGCGGUGGAAUGCGUAGAGAUUAGGAGGAACAUCAGGGGCGAAGGCGACUUACUGGACUGUAACUGACACUGAGGCACGAAAGCGUGGGGAGCAAACAGGAUUAGAUACCCCUGUAGUC
RNAcentral lists this ribosomal RNA (443 nucleotides) under uncultured bacterium. RNAcentral's name for it is "partial 16S ribosomal RNA". It matches the Rfam family "Bacterial small subunit ribosomal RNA", at positions 338 to 795 of the family's 1533-position model. The record is from RNAcentral.